Molecule: long non-coding RNA, 1094 nt
Filed under: Apis florea (little honeybee)
Lineage: Eukaryota; Metazoa; Arthropoda; Insecta; Hymenoptera; Apidae
Description: uncharacterized LOC105734839, transcript variant X1
Source: RNAcentral
GAGUGGGAGUAAACGUGAAGGAGAAAGGGGGAACGAGAAGGGAGCGAGAGGGGAGAAAAAGUGCCUUGUGUCAGACACCUUGCCGUUCUGACUGCGCAGCAUCUCGCUUGUUUCUCGUACGCCUUCGUCGAAGCUCCCUACGCAGCGUCGCUCAUCUCGUUUUCUCGUAUACGAGCGUGACGUCAUGCUGCAAGUUGCACGGGAGUAACCGAGCGAGGAAAGGGGAUAAGAGGGGAGCAGUUACGUGGGGAUAUAGAACGAGCGAACGUGCGCGCGCGCAUCAGAAAGCCGCAGCGUCGAUGGAUUUGCUGUUACCUGCAUGGAGUGGACUGCAUGCAGAAUACACGCGAGGUGACAUCGUCCUAUUGCAAAGACGAUGGCGGCGGGGCAAUGCCACGAAUCGUGGCCCGACGGAGACGAUGGUCUAUGCGCAUAUUGUACCGGACGGUUAAUGGCAUGAUGGCGUGACAUCGGUGCACAUUGCACACGCACACUGCGAGUAAGGCGAACAGAACGGAACGGGAUGGAACAGAACCGAGUGGAACAGAACGGAAUGGAACGAAACGAAACGAAAGACCGGAACGCGAUGUCGCGUGUCCUAUGUUGUAUUCGCGUGUGUCGCAAAUAUUACACGCGAUCCUUCAACUAAAUGCUUUAGUGCACGAAUGUAUUCGUACAUCGUUUUGCUUCUUCGUUUUCUUUCUAAAGUUUAACUCUUUAACUCUCACAAUCGCUGUGAUUAUUACUUUAUGCUAUAUUAUACGCGAGAUUAGACGAGUUUAUUAAAGGCUAUAAAAAGGCUAUAAAUCUCGGAAAAAAAAUGUAUAACGAUUAUUUUUUUGAUGUAUUGCAUUUUAUCUUAUAUAUAUUGAUUAAUGUAAGUAUUUAUGUACGAAGGAAAAGCCAUGGUCAGUAUGAAAAAUGAAUAUUUUUAACUUCCAUAUAAUACAUAUUGUGCAGAUAUAAUCUAAAAAAUAAAACAUAUUUAACAGCUACUGAAUGAAAUGGAUGUAUGCGUAUUCUUUUAUCAGAAACUCAUGAAAAAAUAUUUUACAAUGAGACGAUCAUACUUUUUGCAAAAAGAAAUAAACUAG